Molecule: ribosomal RNA, 502 nt
Filed under: uncultured bacterium
Lineage: Bacteria
Description: partial 16S ribosomal RNA
Rfam family: Bacterial small subunit ribosomal RNA
Source: RNAcentral
AUUGAACGCUGGCGGCAUGCUUUAUACAUGCAAGUCGAACGGAAACCGGCUGGAUGGUGGCGAUGAGUGGCGAAGGGUGGCGUAAUGCAUCGUAACGCGUGCGGACGCGGGGGCAUAGUAGUCGAUAGCAUACCUAAACCCGUGCACGUACUACGGAUGAAAUAGGGUGACAGUAUGCCGUCGCGCGAUUGGACGCGAGCUUGCGCGAAUAGGUGGACCGUUGGGUCAUUAGCUAGUUGGUAGGGUAAAGGCUCACCAAGGCGACGAUGUAUAGCCGACCUGAGAGGACGACCAGCCACACUGGGACUGAGACACGGCCCAGACUCCUACGGGAGGCAGCAGUAGGGAAUUUUGGACAAUGGGCGCAAGCCUGAUCCAGCAACGCCACGUGAGUGAAGAAGGCCUUCGGAUUGUAAACUGCUGUUGUACGGAACGAAACGGCUCUGGUGAAUACCCGAGGCUAAUGACGGUACCGUAAGAAAAAGCACCGGCUAACUACGUG